Anthonomus grandis grandis is the source of this 712-nucleotide long non-coding RNA. RefSeq lists it as uncharacterized. Lineage: Eukaryota; Metazoa; Arthropoda; Insecta; Coleoptera; Curculionidae. The transcript is spliced from 3 exons. The record is from RefSeq and is a predicted model, not a curated record.
UUAUUUUGCAAUUGGCAAGAAAAUGUGAAGAAACAGUUAUUUCACACUUCCAUACACCGGAUAAUGAUCACGAAGAAAUGCCUAAUACUGAUCACCCAUUUUAAUGCCUUCUCCAACUGUUAAUUCGGAUUUUUCAAAUAUUUUGGACUUUGAUGAGAAUUUUUUGGGUGAAAAUUAUAUACAGUUGGAUACAGCAAGUAAUAAAGUUAUCGGCGAUACAAUAAAUAAAAGUUUAGCUGUGUCGCUAACAGAAGAUCAGAUCCCAGAUAUAGGGUCUGUAACAUCAUCGCCAGCCCCUUCACUGACGGCAGAUUUGACAGCUAUCUUAAAUUCAGAUGACAGUUACGCAGAUAAGGACUAUUUACCUGGACAAUCUGAAAGUGAAACCAGUGACGACAACAUUGAUUUAUUGUCCAUUCAGAGAAAAAUAAGUCGUUCAAAGGCUAAUAUUUCCUCUACUAAUAUUCAAAGUAGUAUGUUAAGUUUUUAGAUCGUUAUAUUUAUUAAAUUUUAGAAUAACAAGAAAAAUUGAACAUAACUGAUCAAGCUGGACCUAGUGCUUCCUCAACAAUAAUUGGAGCAGAAAAGGCAAAAGUUCAUAUAGAUAAACCAUUAAAAAAGUGGUCCCGAGUUGUAAGAAAAGAGAGAAGUGAAAAAAUUCAUUCUGGACAAAGUUACGUAAAUAUAAGCGGUAAAAUGGUAAAUGCAAGAC